This 408-nucleotide ribosomal RNA is filed under the name Triticum aestivum (bread wheat). Its description in RNAcentral is "partial small subunit ribosomal RNA". The record is from RNAcentral. Lineage: Eukaryota; Viridiplantae; Streptophyta; Magnoliopsida; Poales; Poaceae.
AUGCGAUGGUGGGUUCAUGCAGGGGCAGGCUAUAGUUUUCCGGCAUACAGUGGCCCACGCCACCGCAGCCUGGCUCCGCCAAUACGCGAGGGCGAUGGCAGCAGCGGCAAUGGGGUGGUAGCGGUGGCAGUGGUAGCAGUGGCCCGUCUGGAGUUGGUGGCAUUCUGGAACACUCGUCACAGUUCCUGCUUAAUUGUGGCUUCUAUCUUAGAAGAAAUAGGAGAGCUAGUUUAUGAUUUUUCUGUUUUUGAAAUUCAGCAUGUAAACAAGUCAGUUAACUUACGAGCACAUCUUUAUGCAAAAUGUGCUUGCACUCUGAAUGCGACCGAGAGAUGGCUCGACAAAACACCAUAUUUUCUGGUAACCAGGUUGUUGGCUGAUUGUCCAGGGAAUACUUUCAUGGAAUAA